UACAGAGACUGCAAGCGUUAUUCGGAUUCACUGGGCGUAAAGGGUGCGUAGGUGGCUUGGAAAGUUUGAUGUGAAAGCUCAGGGCUUAACCCUGAAAUGGCAUUGAAUACUGCUGAGCUGGAGGUUUGGAGGGGGGACUGGAAUUCUUGGUGUAGCAGUGAAAUGCGUAGAUAUCAAGAGGAACACCAGUGGCGAAGGCGAGUCCCUGGACAACACCUGACACUGAGGCACGAAAGCUAGGGGAGCAAACAGG
This 253-nucleotide ribosomal RNA is filed under the name uncultured bacterium. Its description in RNAcentral is "partial 16S ribosomal RNA". It matches the Rfam family "Bacterial small subunit ribosomal RNA", at positions 524 to 776 of the family's 1533-position model. The record is from RNAcentral.